Molecule: ribosomal RNA, 537 nt
Filed under: Ara macao (Scarlet macaw)
Lineage: Eukaryota; Metazoa; Chordata; Aves; Psittaciformes; Psittacidae
Description: partial 16S large subunit ribosomal RNA
Source: RNAcentral
CCUGCAAAACGAAUCUAAGUUCCCCCUUAACCCUCUUUUUCCUCCCCAGACAAACCCAACCCAAAUGUGAUAGUUAAGGGCUAUUUAAAGGGGGUACAGCCCCUUUAAAAAAGGACACAACCUCCACCAGCGGAUAACCCCUGUACGCCCAACCCCGUGGGCCUUAAAGCAGCCACCCCCAAAGAUUGCGUCAAAGCUCCAUCAACCAAAAACCCCCAAAACCAAUGCGACUCCCUACACCCACAGCAGGCCAACCUAUAACAAUAGAUGAGUCAAUGCUAGAACGAGUAACCAGGACACUACGUCCCCCUAAGCGCCAGCCUGUAUACCAUUAACAGUAAAACCUCAAUAAUAACCACCCCCACCAUUGAACCCACCCUGUCAACCCAACUCAGGGGCGCACACUGGAGUGAUCAAAAUCUACAAAAGGAACUCGGCAAACCUAAGACCCGACUGUUUACCAAAAACAUAGCCUUCAGCCAAACAAGUAUUGAAGGUGAUGCCUGCCCAGUGACACCAUGUUUAACGGCCGCGGUA